This 301-nucleotide ribosomal RNA is filed under the name uncultured bacterium. RNAcentral's name for it is "partial 16S ribosomal RNA". It matches the Rfam family "Bacterial small subunit ribosomal RNA", at positions 509 to 807 of the family's 1533-position model. The record is from RNAcentral.
CAGUCGCCGCGGUAAUACAGAGGAUGCAAGCGUUAUCCGGAAUGAUUGGGCGUAAAGCGUCUGUAGGUGGCUUUUCAAGUCCGCCGUCAAAUCCCAGGGCUCAACCCUGGACAGGCGGUGGAAACUACCAAGCUGGAGUACGGUAGGGGCAGAGGGAAUUUCCGGUGGAGCGGUGAAAUGCGUUGAGGUCGGAAAGUACACCAACGGCGAAAGCACUCUGCUGGGCCGACACUGACACUGAGAGACGAAAGCUAGGGGAGCAAACAGGAUUAGAGACCCCUGUAGUCCCUGUCUCUUAUAC